RNAcentral lists this non-coding RNA (22 nucleotides) under Drosophila melanogaster (fruit fly). The record is from RNAcentral. Lineage: Eukaryota; Metazoa; Arthropoda; Insecta; Diptera; Drosophilidae.
UAUGAGAAAAAGGGAAAGAAAA